This is a long non-coding RNA of Dermochelys coriacea (leatherback sea turtle), 1880 nucleotides long. RefSeq lists it as uncharacterized. NCBI's taxonomy places the organism in Eukaryota, Metazoa, Chordata, Testudines, Dermochelyidae. The transcript is spliced from 6 exons. The record is from RefSeq and is a predicted model, not a curated record.
GUGGGUGAUGAAGUACUGGUGAAGGGCAAACUAACAGUCAAGAUCAAAGAACAAGAGAGUGAGAAACUGGUGCUAACCUGAGAUGACGAAGACUUCAAGUUUCCCCUCUGCCUGACUGGGAGAAGAGAUUUGAACAGGCUAUCUUUCAGCUUGUGCCUGGAGCCUCCUGACCUCACAACACAGAUCAGCUCUGGAACCGACCAGCUAACUCAGCAGGGUGAGGAGUGGACCUCAGCAACAGGAUAAAAGAUAUGGAAAUACCUGCUGGAACUCCACUGCAUCAGGUCUGGCUAACCACCAGUACUGAUUAAUAAAGAAGAAAAUGUUCUGUGAAUUGUGACAUCUGUAGCUCUUUCACUAUACUUAUGUGUUUUUCACAAUAGCUUUUAAAAAAACUCCAUAAAUCCUCCAUUCUUUUGUGUUGUUGGAAAUAAGUCAAAUGCCAGUUCAGCUUCAAAUACAUUUUAGUGGUGUAAAAGAACUCAAAUGAUCAGAGAAACCUUAAGUAUUUUUGUCUUUAGCUCCCUGUAUAAAGCAAUGUAGUGUUUUCACAGAAGUGUUUCCAUUCAUGUUUUAAUAAACAUGUCCAAGGCGCUCACUUGUCAUUGAACCCAUUUUACAUCUCUUUUCUUAUAGAGACAGUGGAGAAAAAUAAUGUGUUAUGCUCUAAAUGGUCAGUACAUGCACUUGGGCUGCCUCUGCUCAGUGCCAUUUAUAUUAAUAGGUACGAUUAUCCAUGCAGGCCUUUGUUUUCAAUGCACUGUUUAUAGUCCCCAUUUGUGCAUCUUUCUGGAGUUAAAGUGUUUAUAACGAUAUGGAGCAGCUGGCAACAAACUAUUGUUUCUCAUUAAAAAGACAUGUUUCCUGAGCUUUUGGGGAUUCUUUAUGCUAAAUAGUACAUACUGUUGACAUUUUGCCCUUUGUUUUCCUUUAGUUCUUUGCUACUGAAUAUCGAUGGUUCAGGGUUAAGCUACCAAGUUCUAAAACAAGAACUGGGAAGCCUGCCGAGACAUAAAACCAAGGGCAUAGCCACUUUGGGUCAUUAAAGAUCCCGGGGCACUCUUUGCAAGAGAAAAGGGGUGUUACUCCUUUUGCUCCUGACCAAUUCCAGCUAGAGUAGUUGCAUUCUGACCUCCUAACCUCUCUGUUUUUUCAGCUGGAUAAAUUAUUGUUCAUUUCUCCUCCUAAAAAGCUGUUGUGUUGCUGGCCCAGAAUGGCCACUGUGUUCUGCUCUAGAUGUGGCUGCAUUCCAGGGAUGGGUGAGGUAACCCCUAAACUAAUAUAUCGUGCAACACCUAGAUACUUCUGUGGGACAGUGUAAGCCAAUCAAUAAUGAUGUACAAGAGUUACUGUGGGAAGCUUGGCUUUAAUGUGUACUGGUCAGCAUUACUAGAACAUGCUGCAAUUUCGUCUGGUUUCUGAGGAAGAUUGAAGCACCUGAGUAAUGAACUUGGACAAUGUUGCAGGGAGGAGAUUGGAAUAUUUUUCCAACCAUGGCUUGUGUCAUGCUGCCUGGAGUGGCUCAUGACUGAGUGAUUUCCUCAGGGAAGACACCCCAAACUCGUGAUUUGGGACACAGCGUGAUCCAUGGUUAGAGCAGUAGACUAAGACUGAAGAGAGCUAGAGUCUCUUCCUGGUUCUGCUACUGACAUGUGACCUUGGGCAAGUCAUUUCACCUUCUUGUGCUUCUGUUUCCCCUUUGUCUACUUAGAUCAUAUUCUCAUUGAGGCAGGAUUGUGUUUGUACAGUACCUAGCACAAUGGGACCCCACUCUUGGGUGGGAUCUUCAGGGAUUGUAAUAAUAAUAAUUUGCUCUGGAGUAACUGAGAGCAGAAUGUCAAGUAUCAGAGGGGUAGCCGUGUUAGUAAUUACACACUGUA